GUCCCCGCCCCACGUUUGGUUCGUGGUACCUCCAGGUCUGAGGCGGGCGGCCGGGCGCUGUGUUCGUUGUGUGCGCGCGGUGUUUUUGGUUGCUUUGGCCUUCUUGCUACUCUCCGGUCCUUCCGCCAGCCUCGAGCCCUCACCACUCUCGGUAUCUGUGAUUGUCUUCAGGGAAAGAUUUCUACAAGUGAGAUUGCUAGAGUAAACGCUGCACUGCACAGCAUAUGGGAUCUUAGUUCCCUGACCAGGGAUCAAACCUGCAUUCUCUGCAUUGGAAGUGUGGAGUCUUAACCGCUGGACUACCAGGGAAGUCCCUCCUCUUCUUUAAUAUAAUAAUUAGUUGGUAGCAAAUCUCUAUUUUAAAAUUAUUUCUUAUCUGUAUAUAAAAUGUGGCAUUUUGUAUAAGAAAUAGGAAAAAAUAAGAAUGUAAUUAUAUGUAUUUGAUUAGUUUUGCAAUGAGAAAACAAAAGAAGGGUAAAUCAGAAACUAAUGAAAAUAGUUACAGGUUAGGGAUAGGUGGGAAAGGCUAGGAUGUGAGCCAGACUUCUCUGAAUAUACCUUUUCAUACAGUCUUCACUUCUGAGGCAUGUAAAUAUUCUAUGAAUUUAAAAAUUAAAAUUAAUAUUAACUCAAAAGAUAAAGACGAGUCAAACCUUAAAAUUGAAUACAAAUGGCAAAAAUCAAUAUCAUAUUUAUAACACAGGCACAGAAAAAAUUAAUUAAAGUAACUUUUGAACACUGCGCUGAAUAAAAACAGAAAGAACUAAAAAGAAGUCUUGAACUUUCCCGAGUGGGUUUAUCAGAGAUGGCAAUUUGGUAUAGUGAUUCUGGAAGUAUUUUGUUGUGUUGUAGCAUAAGGCAAAUGAGUAACUGUACUGAUGCUUUUUAGAACCAGAGUUCUUUGUAGGAGAAGAGGGAUACAAAUAAAAAUGGGGAAGAUAAGGAAAAAUCCUAUGGUGUUGAUUCAAUCUGGAUGUAUCAAUAUUAUUUUUAAAUAUAUAUAUAUAAAUAUAUAGGUAUUUCCUUGCUUUUAAAGAUAUAUAUAGUAUGUUAUGUGUGUGUAUAUAUAUAUAUAUAUAUAUAUUUCCUUGCUUUUUCUGUUGAAUGGGCCUAUAAGCAGUGACACCCCAGUAACAGUGAGCACAGCUAGCACCAUUAUUCAGUUUCUAAAUACCAUUCCCCAGUGAAAGGCACCAGGACUCCUGGGAGAAAUGGUUAAUUCCAGGUCUGAGGCAGCUGUGUAGGGAUAGUACAGGAUGACUCAAUGUCCUCCCAAACAAGGAAUUACUCAAAGACAAAUGGGGACAUGUCAACAGAAUACAGAAGCUGGCUUAAAAGAGCUUCUCCUGGGCAAAUUUGGGACAGUUUGAGCAUUAAAAAGAAUUGGGACAGAAACGGAUCAUAACAGUGUCAGUAACAACACAAAUUCCAGGAACUUAACUUCAUACACCUCCACCCCACCCACCCCAGAUAUUCUGACAAAUAGGUCUGGGGUCGGGUUUGAGAAUUUUACAUUUCUUUUUUUUUUUUUUUACAUCUUUAUUGGAAUAUAAUUGCUUUACAAUGGUGUGUUAGUUUCUGCUUUAUAACAAAGUGAAUCAUUUAUACAUAUACAUAUGUUCCCAUAUCUCUUCCCUCUUGAGUCUCCCUGCCUUCCACCCUCCCUAUCCCACCCCUCCAGGUGGUCACAAAGCACUGAGCUGAUCUCCCUGUGCUAUGCGGCUGCUUCCUACUAGCUAUCUAUUUUACGUUUGGUAAAAUAGUGUAUAUAUGUCCAUGCCUCUCUCUUGCUUUGUCACAGCUCACCCUUCCCCCUCCCCAUAUCCUCAAGUCCAUUCUCUAGUAGGUCUGUGUCUUUAUUCCUGUCUUACCCCUAGGUUCUUCAUGAGAUUUUUUUUUUCUUAGAUUCCAUAUAUAUGUGUUAGCAUACGGUAUUUGUUUUUCUCUUUCUGACUUACUUCACUCUGUAUGAUAGUCUCUAGGUCCAUCCACCUCACUACAAAUAACUCAAUUUCAUUUCUUUUUAUGGCUGAGUAAUAUUCCAUUGUAUAUAUGUACCACAUCUUCUUUAUCCAUUCAUCCGAUGAUGGACAUUUAGGUUGUUUCCAUCUCCUGGCUAUUGUAGAUAGAGCUGCAAUGAACAUUUUGGUACAUGACUCUUUUUGAAUUAUGGUUUUCUCAGGGUAUAUGCCCAGU
Molecule: long non-coding RNA, 2196 nt
Organism: Globicephala melas (long-finned pilot whale)
Lineage: Eukaryota; Metazoa; Chordata; Mammalia; Artiodactyla; Delphinidae
Source: RefSeq, a predicted model, not a curated record